Molecule: long non-coding RNA, 605 nt
Organism: Triticum dicoccoides
Lineage: Eukaryota; Viridiplantae; Streptophyta; Magnoliopsida; Poales; Poaceae
Exons: 3
Source: RefSeq, a predicted model, not a curated record
UGCCCUUUUCCAUUACGGACAUAUGUACGUGGUAAAUCUUUUUUUAGUUGACACGUGAAGGAAUUUUUGUGUGUAAAAACAUUGCACCUUCACAAUAUUUGUAUGUAACGUUAAAUCUUUAAAUCUCGGCCGUCUAUAUCUAAAAUUAACGGUUGAGGUAAUUUAAUCUGUGUGGAUGAACGUAGUGGCUUAUUUGUCUUCUAUCUUAAUUAUGAUGAUAGUCUACGCAAGAUCUACACAUGUUAAAUUUUUGUUGACUUGAAUCUGUUAUGCCCUUGAUUUUUUUACUUAGCUUAACCCAGAACAACAACAUCCUUGAUAUUUACUGAUCCCCACCUCGCUCUUUGCACUCGCAGACUUGAAGGCAUCUAUCGUCCCAGCUUUCAGAAUGGAGAAACUAAUCAUUCGGUGGUGGUGACCCAUAUGAUGGCGAUUCGCUCCGGCCAUUCCAGUUUUUGCGGUGGUGGUGCUGCUGCGCCUAUGAUGGUAGACUCGUCUGAUUCCCCUAGCCGCAUCCAUGGUGAUGAAGCUCGGCCUAGGCUAGAACCCCCUCCGAUUUGCUUAAGAUCACGGAAGCUUGGGUUGAUGGAGUGCUUGUAUUUAGU